Molecule: ribosomal RNA, 460 nt
Filed under: uncultured bacterium
Lineage: Bacteria
Description: partial 16S ribosomal RNA
Rfam family: Bacterial small subunit ribosomal RNA
Source: RNAcentral
CCUACGGGUGGCAGCAGUGAGGAAUAUUGGUCAAUGGGCGCGAGCCUGAACCAGCCAAGUAGCGUGAAGGAUGACUGCCCUACGGGUUGUAAACUUCUUUUAUCAAGGAAUAAAGUGAGGCACGUGUGCCUUUUUGUAUGUACUUUAUGAAUAAGGAUCGGCUAACUCCGUGCCAGCAGCCGCGGUAAUACGGAGGAUCCGAGCGUUAUCCGGAUUUAUUGGGUUUAAAGGGUGCGUAGGUGGGUUGGUAAGUCAGUUGUGAAAGUUUGCGGCGCAACCGUAAAAGUUCAAUUGAUACUGGCGGUCUUGAGUACAGUUGAGGGAGGCGGAAUUCGUAGUGUAGCGGUGAAAUGCGUAGAUAUCACGAAGAACACCGAUUGCGAAGGCAGCUUACUAAACUGCCACUGACGUUGAUGCUCGAAAGUGUGGGUAUCAAACAGGAUUAGAUACCCUUGUAGUC